Molecule: ribosomal RNA, 523 nt
Filed under: uncultured bacterium
Lineage: Bacteria
Description: bacterial SSU rRNA
Rfam family: Bacterial small subunit ribosomal RNA
Source: RNAcentral
UCAGGACGAACGCUGGCGGCGUGCCUAAUACAUGCAAGUCGAACGGUCUUUCUAUGGAAGCUUGCUCCACUGAGAAGAUAGUGGCGAACGGGUGAGUAACACGUGGGGUAACCUGCCCAUAAGAGGGGGGAUAACAUCCGGAAACGGGUGCUAAUACCGCAUAGUUUUCUUGAUCGCAUGAUCGGGAAAGGAAAGACGGCCUUUGUGCUGUCGCUUAUGGAUGGACCCGCGGCGUAUUAGUUAGUUGGUGAGGUAACGGCUCACCAAGACGAUGAUACGUAGCCGACCUGAGAGGGUGAUCGGCCACAUUGGGACUGAGACACGGCCCAAACUCCUACGGGAGGCAGCAGUAGGGAAUCUUCCGCAAUGGACGAAAGUCUGACGGAGCAACGCCGCGUGAGUGAAGAAAAGGUUUUCGGAUCGUAAAACUCUGUUGUCAGAGAAGAACAAGUUGGAGAGUAACUGCUCCAGCCUUGACGGUAUCUGACCAGAAAGCCACGGCUAACUACGUGCCAGCAGCGGC